Callorhinchus milii (elephant shark) is the source of this 287-nucleotide long non-coding RNA. RefSeq lists it as uncharacterized. NCBI's taxonomy places the organism in Eukaryota, Metazoa, Chordata, Chondrichthyes, Chimaeriformes, Callorhinchidae. The record is from RefSeq and is a predicted model, not a curated record. The transcript is spliced from 3 exons.
CAUUGAGCACUUCCCAUUCUAUUACUGCUGCCAGAUUGAACAGCUGAAACAUGUCUUCUCUCUGCACACCACCACUCACCUAUAAAGAGCUUCAAAAGCAGGGCCCUAAUGAUGCUUCAGCGUGGUUUAGAUUGUAGGACUCAGAAGGAGGAAAAUACAAGUAAUCUACAGAUACAUCUGAAACAAUGGCCAAUUGGAUGAGAUAUUCUACGCAACUAGCAAGGUGGAACUGUAACUUGGAAGGAAAAGGAAUCAAAGCAACAAAGAGGAGAAAAUAACAUGAAAGA